UGCUGCAGUGUUUAUUUAUAAGUU
Molecule: unclassified non-coding RNA, 24 nt
Filed under: Mus musculus (house mouse)
Lineage: Eukaryota; Metazoa; Chordata; Mammalia; Rodentia; Muridae
Description: oocyte_clustered_small_RNA11349
Source: RNAcentral